GCCCCCAUCGUCUAGGGGACAGGACAUCGCCCUUUCACGGCGGCGACAGGGGUUCAAAUCCCCUUGGGGGCACCA
This 75-nucleotide transfer RNA is filed under the name bacterium. Its description in RNAcentral is "tRNA-Glu". It matches the Rfam family "tRNA". Rfam says of the family: Transfer RNA (tRNA) molecules are approximately 80 nucleotides in length. RNAcentral also lists the same sequence under 1 other name. The record is from RNAcentral.